GGGGAAACCCAGGCUAAUACCGCAUACGUCCUACGGGAGAAAGCAGGGGACCUUUCGGGCCUUGCGCUAUCGGAUGAGCCUAUGUCGGAUUAGCUGGUUGGUGAGGUAAUGGCUCACCAAGGCGACGAUCCGUAGCUGGUCUGAGAGGAUGAUCAGCCACAUCGGGACUGAGACACGGCCCGAACUCCUACGGGAGGCAGCAGUGGGGAAUAUUGGACAAUGGGCGCAAGCCUGAUCCAGCCAUGCCGCGUGUGUGAAGAAGGCCCUCGGGUUGUAAAGCACUUUCAGUGGGGAAGAAAGCCUUCCGGUUAAUACCCGGGAGGAGGGACAUCACCCACAGAAGAAGCACCGGCUAACUCCGUGCCAGCAGCCGCGGUAAUACGGAGGGUGCGAGCGUUAAUCGGAAUUACUGGGCGUAAAGCGCGCGUAGGCGGCUUGAUAAGCCGGUUGUGAAAGCCCCGGGCUCAACCUGGGAACGGCAUCCGGAACUGUCAGGCUAGAGUGCAGGAGAGGAAGGUAGAAUUCCCGGUGUAGCGGUGAAAUGCGUAGAGAUCGGGAGGAAUACCAGUGGCGAAGGCGGCCUUCUGGACUGACACUGACGCUGAGGUGCGAAAGCGUGGGUAGCAAACAGGAUUAGAUACCCUGGUAGUCCACGCCGUAAACGAUGUCGACUAGCCGUUGGGUCCUUCGCGGACUUUGUGGCGCAGUUAACGCGAUAAGUCGACCGCCUGGGGAGUACGGCCGCAAGGUUAAAACUCAAAUGAAUUGACGGGGGCCCGCACAAGCGGUGGAGCAUGUGGUUUAAUUCGAUGCAACGCGAAGAACCUUACCUACCCUUGACAUCCUGCGAACCCUUCGGAGACGAAGGGGUGCCUUCGGGAACGCAGAGACAGGUGCUGCAUGGCUGUCGUCAGCUCGUGUUGUGAAAUGUUGGGUUAAGUCCCGUAACGAGCGCAACCCUUGUCCCUAUUUGCCAGCGAUUCGGUCGGGAACUCUAGGGAGACUGCCGGUGACAAACCGGAGGAAGGUGGGGACGACGUCAAGUCAUCAUGGCCCUUACGGGUAGGGCUACACACGUGCUACAAUGGUCAGUACAAAGGGUUGCGAACUUGCGAGAGUGAGCCAAUCCCAGAAAGCUGAUCUCAGUCCGGAUCGGAGUCUGCAACUCGACUCCGUGAAGUCGGAAUCGCUAGUAAUCGUGAAUCAGAAUGUCACGGUGAAUACGUUCCCGGGCCUUGUACACACCGCCCGUCACACCAUGGGAGUGGACUGCACCAGAAGUGGUUAGCCUAACCUUCGGGAGGGCGAUCACCACGG
Molecule: ribosomal RNA, 1317 nt
Filed under: Billgrantia desiderata
Lineage: Bacteria; Pseudomonadati; Pseudomonadota; Gammaproteobacteria; Oceanospirillales; Halomonadaceae
Also listed under: 1 other name
Description: bacterial SSU rRNA
Rfam family: Bacterial small subunit ribosomal RNA
Source: RNAcentral